GACGAACGCUGGCGGCGUGCUUAACACAUGCAAGUCGAGCGGUAAGGCCCUUUCGGGGGUACACGAGCGGCGAACGGGUGAGUAACACGUGGGUGACCUGCCUCUAGCUCUGGGAUAAGCCCGGGAAACUGGGUCUAAUACUGGAUAUGACUCCAUGACGCAUGUUGUGGGGUGGAAAGCCUUGUGCGGCUAGAGAUGGGCCCGCGGCCUAUCAGCUUGUUGGUGGGGUGAUGGCCUACCAAGGCGACGACGGGUAGCCGGCCUGAGAGGGCGACCGGCCACACUGGGACUGAGACACGGCCCAGACUCCUACGGGAGGCAGCAGUGGGGAAUCUUGGACAAUGGGCGCAAGCCUGAUCCAGCCAUGCCGCGUGAGUGAAGAAGGCCUCGGUUGUAAG
RNAcentral lists this ribosomal RNA (398 nucleotides) under uncultured bacterium. RNAcentral's name for it is "bacterial SSU rRNA". It matches the Rfam family "Bacterial small subunit ribosomal RNA", at positions 28 to 429 of the family's 1533-position model. The record is from RNAcentral.